UGGGUGACACAACCAGGUGACACUGGGUGACAACCGGGUGACAUUGCUGGGUGACACCGCCGGGUGACGACGCUGGGUGACACAACCAGGUGACACCGCCAGGUGAUACUGGGUGACAACUGGGUGACAUUGCCAGGUGACACCGCCAGGUGACGACACUGGGUGACACAACCAGGUGACACAGGGUGACAACCGGGUGAUGUUGCGGGGUGACACCGCCGGGUGAUGACACUGGGUGACACAACCAGGUGACACCGCCAGGUGAUACUGGGUGACAACUGGGUGACAUUGCCGGGUGACACCGCCAGGUGACGACACUGGGUGACACAACCAGGUGACAGGGGGUGACAACCGGGUGACGUUGCGGGGUGACACCGCCGGGUGACGACGCUGGGUGACACAACCAGGUGACACGGGGUGACAACCGGGCGACGUUGCGGGGUGACACCGCCAGGUGAUGACACUGGGUGACACAACCAGGUGACACCGCCAGGUGAUACUGGGUGACAACCAGGUGACAUUGCCAGGUGACACCGCCAGGUGACGACACUGGGUGACACAACCAGGUGACACUGGGUGACAACCGGGUGACAUUGUGGGGUGACACAACCAGUGCGCCGCCCCCCCCGUCACCGGGCCGUGCCGCGCCGCGUUCCGGCGGUGGUACCACAGCCCCCAACACCGCGACUGCCGGCCCUUCACCUACGGCGGCUGUCGGGGGAACAGCAACAACUACCUCCGGAAGGAAGAGUGUCUGCAGCGCU
Molecule: long non-coding RNA, 764 nt
Filed under: Numida meleagris (helmeted guineafowl)
Lineage: Eukaryota; Metazoa; Chordata; Aves; Galliformes; Numididae
Description: lncRNA (ENSNMEG00000000858.1)
Source: RNAcentral